UGGGGAAUAUUGCACAAUGGGCGCAAGCCUGAUGCAGCCAUGCCGCGUGUGUGAAGAAGGCCUUCGGGUUGUAAAGCACUUUCAGCAGUGAGGAAGGCGGGUACGUUAAUAGCGUAUUCGUUUGACGUUAGCUGCAGAAGAAGCACCGGCUAACUCCGUGCCAGCAGCCGCGGUAAUACGGAGGGUGCGAGCGUUAAUCGGAAUUACUGGGCGUAAAGCGCAUGCAGGUGGUUCGUUAAGUCAGAUGUGAAAGCCCGGGGCUCAACCUCGGAACUGCAUUUGAAACUGGCGGACUAGAGUACUGUAGAGGGGGGUAGAAUUUCAGGUGUAGCGGUGAAAUGCGUAGAGAUCUGAAGGAAUACCGGUGGCGAAGGCGGCCCCCUGG
RNAcentral lists this ribosomal RNA (385 nucleotides) under uncultured bacterium. Its description in RNAcentral is "bacterial SSU rRNA". It matches the Rfam family "Bacterial small subunit ribosomal RNA", at positions 355 to 732 of the family's 1533-position model. The record is from RNAcentral.